CAUGGCCUUUAUAUCCUGGGCUACACACACGCUACAAUGGCAGAUACAAUAGGUUGCGAAACCGCGAGGUGGAGCCAAUCCUCAAAGUCUGUCUCAGUUCAGAUUGUAGGCUGCAACUCGCCUGCAUGAAGUUGGAGUUGCUAGUAAACGCAGGUCAGCUAUACUGCGUUGAAUACGUUCCCGGGGUUU
RNAcentral lists this ribosomal RNA (189 nucleotides) under uncultured Leptolinea sp. RNAcentral's name for it is "partial 16S ribosomal RNA". It matches the Rfam family "Bacterial small subunit ribosomal RNA", at positions 1194 to 1382 of the family's 1533-position model. The record is from RNAcentral. Lineage: Bacteria; Bacillati; Chloroflexota; Anaerolineae; Anaerolineales; Anaerolineaceae.